AUCCAGCUGACGAGUCUCAAAUAGGACGAAAUGCGCGUCCUGGAU
This is a non-coding RNA of Schistosoma haematobium, 45 nucleotides long. The record is from Rfam. Lineage: Eukaryota; Metazoa; Platyhelminthes; Trematoda; Strigeidida; Schistosomatidae.